GACGAACGCUGGCGGCGUGCUUAACACAUGCAAGUCGAACGGAAAGGCCCUGCUUUUGUGGGGUGCUCGAGUGGCGAACGGGUGAGUAACACGUGAGUAACCUGCCCUUGACUUUGGGAUAACUUCAGGAAACUGGGGCUAAUACCGGAUAGGAGCUCCUGCUGCAUGGUGGGGGUUGGAAAGUUUCGGCGGUUGGGGAUGGACUCGCGGCUUACCAGCUUGUUGGUGGGGUAGUGGCUUACCAAGGCUUUGACGGGUAGCCGGCCUGAGAGGGUGACCGGCCACAUUGGGACUGAGAUACGGCCCAGACUCCUACGGGAGGCAGCAGUGGGGAAUAUUGCACAAUGGGCGGAAGCCUGAUGCAGCAACGCCGCGUGCGGGAUGACGGCCUUCGGGUUGUAAACCGCUUUCGCCUGUGACGAAGCGGGAGUGACGGUAAUGGGUAAAGAAGCACCGGCUAACUACGUG
This 468-nucleotide ribosomal RNA is filed under the name uncultured bacterium. Its description in RNAcentral is "partial 16S ribosomal RNA". It matches the Rfam family "Bacterial small subunit ribosomal RNA", at positions 28 to 507 of the family's 1533-position model. The record is from RNAcentral.